RNAcentral lists this ribosomal RNA (832 nucleotides) under Leptosphaerulina queenslandica. RNAcentral's name for it is "Leptosphaerulina sp. TVS-2020a partial large subunit ribosomal RNA". It matches the Rfam family "Eukaryotic large subunit ribosomal RNA", at positions 69 to 919 of the family's 3401-position model. Lineage: Eukaryota; Fungi; Ascomycota; Dothideomycetes; Pleosporales; Didymellaceae. The record is from RNAcentral.
CAGGGAUUGCCCUAGUAACGGCGAGUGAAGCGGCAACAGCUCAAAUUUGAAAUCUGGCGUCUUUGGCGUCCGAGUUGUAAUUUGCAGAGGGCGCUUUGGCAUUGGCAGCGGUCCAAGUUCCUUGGAACAGGACGUCACAGAGGGUGAGAAUCCCGUACGUGGUCGCUAGCCUUUACCGUGUAAAGCCCCUUCGACGAGUCGAGUUGUUUGGGAAUGCAGCUCUAAAUGGGAGGUAAAUUUCUUCUAAAGCUAAAUACUGGCCAGAGACCGAUAGCGCACAAGUAGAGUGAUCGAAAGAUGAAAAGCACUUUGGAAAGAGAGUUAAAAAGCACGUGAAAUUGUUGAAAGGGAAGCGCUUGCAGCCAGACUUGCCUGUAGUUGCUCAUCCGGGUUUCUACCCGGUGCACUCUUCUAUAGGCAGGCCAGCAUCAGUUUGGGCGGUUGGAUAAAGGUCUCUGUCAUGUACCUCCUUUCGGGGAGAACUUAUAGGGGAGACGACAUGCAACCAGCCUGGACUGAGGUCCGCGCAUCUGCUAGGAUGCUGGCGUAAUGGCUGUAAGCGGCCCGUCUUGAAACACGGACCAAGGAGUCUAACAUCUAUGCGAGUGUUUGGGUGUCAAGCCCGAGCGCGUAAUGAAAGUGAACGGAGGUGGGAACCUUUCGGGGUGCACCAUCGACCGAUCCUGAUGUCUUCGGAUGGAUUUGAGUAAGAGCAUAGCUGUUGGGACCCGAAAGAUGGUGAACUAUGCUUGAAUAGGGUGAAGCCAGAGGAAACUCUGGUGGAGGCUCGCAGCGGUUCUGACGUGCAAAUCGAUCGUCAAAUUUGGGCAUA